CACGUAGGGCGCAAGCGUUGUCCGGAAUUAUUGGGCGUAAAGAGCUCGUAGGCGGUCUGUUGCGUCCGCUGUGAAAACCCGGGGCUUAACCCCGAGCCUGCAGUGGAUACGGGCAGACUAGAGGUAGGUAGGGGAGAAUGGAAUUCCCGGUGUAGCGGUGAAAUGCGCAGAUAUCGGGAGGAACACCGGUGGCGAAGGCGGUUCUCUGGGCCUUACCUGACGCUGAGGAGCGAAAGCGUGGGGAGCGAACAGG
RNAcentral lists this ribosomal RNA (253 nucleotides) under uncultured bacterium. RNAcentral describes it as "partial 16S ribosomal RNA". It matches the Rfam family "Bacterial small subunit ribosomal RNA", at positions 524 to 776 of the family's 1533-position model. The record is from RNAcentral.